GAGACGGUAUUUUGCCGUCGCUAAUAACAUUAGCGACGGUAAUUUUGCCAUCGUUAUUAGCGACGGUAAUUUUGCCAUCGCUAAUACUAUCCCUAUUUUACCGUCCAUCCAAUUUUCAACUUUUUACUUUCUCUCUUCCUCCUUUUCCUCGCCUCCGAUCCCCCCACCCCUUUCUUUACCCUGCCUCCGGUCUUCCUCUUUCCUCCGCUGCC
This 212-nucleotide long non-coding RNA is filed under the name Elaeis guineensis (African oil palm). Its description in RNAcentral is "long non-coding RNA (EGUI_LNC028762)". The record is from RNAcentral. Lineage: Eukaryota; Viridiplantae; Streptophyta; Magnoliopsida; Arecales; Arecaceae.